Molecule: ribosomal RNA, 253 nt
Filed under: uncultured bacterium
Lineage: Bacteria
Description: partial 16S ribosomal RNA
Rfam family: Bacterial small subunit ribosomal RNA
Source: RNAcentral
UACGGAGGGUGCAAGCAUUAAUCGGAUUUACUGGGCGUAAAGGGCGCGUAGGCGGACCUGUAAGUCAGAUGUGAAAUCCCGGGGCUCAACCCCGGAACAGCAUACGAAACUGCAGGUCUAGAGGGUAGGCGGAGAAAACGGAAUUCCACAAGUAGCGGUGAAAUGCGUAGAUAUGUGGAAGAACACCGGUGGCGAAGGCGGUUUUCUAGCUUACUCCUGACGCUGAGGCGCGAAAGCAAGGGGAUCAAACAGG